Apodemus sylvaticus (European woodmouse) is the source of this 608-nucleotide non-coding RNA. Lineage: Eukaryota; Metazoa; Chordata; Mammalia; Rodentia; Muridae. The record is from the annotation of a RefSeq genome assembly.
CUCAGAUAAAAGCUCAGGAGUUGUCUUACUGAUCAGUCUCCUCAGGCUGCAUUCUUAAAAUGAAGUUUCCUGUUCAUCUCUUGGUGCUUCUGUUGCUCUGGGUUCCUGCUUCCAGAGGUGAUGUUGUGAUGACCCAAACUCCACUCUUCCUGCCUGUUAGCCCUGGUGAUCAAACAUCUAUCUCUUGCAGGUCUAGUCAGGGAAUUGUGCAUAGUAAUGGAAAUACCUAUUUGUCUUGGUACCUGCAGAAGCCAGGCCAGCCUCCGAAGCUCCUGAUCUACAAGGUUUCCACCCGAUUUUCUGGGGUCCCAGACAGAUUUAGUGGCAGUGGUUCAGGGACAGAUUUCACACUCAAGAUCAGCAGAAUAGAGCCUGAGGAUUUGGGAGUUUAUUACUGCUUUCAAGGUUCAAAGAUUCCUCCCACAGUGAUUUAUACCCCAACAAAAACCUCCUUGCUUAGAGUGGCCCAGCUGCUAAAUAAGUUAUUCAUCUUUGUGAAACAGAUGCAAAGCAACUCCAGAUUAUUGGUUACAGCUGUGAGAAUUGAGCUUGACAGCAUUCAGCACACAUUAACAGUUAUGCAUUUCUGACCUCAUCAUAUGCAAUAA